AAUGUCAAAGGAAUGUUCAUAACACAGGCAAGCACCUAAAGGAACAGUAUCUAUUUCAAUAUCAACAAGUUAGCACGCUUUAUUAGCUGACCACAAUGACAUAGCAUUGCACUACAGGAAAUGCGGCACUUCAACUCAAGGAAAUUUACAUCAUAAAAAGAACUGGUGUGCAGGAAAGGCAGACCCAGGUUGCUCAAACUCCAAACAUUCCCAAGAAAAGCAUGUCUUCAGGACUGGCCCUUGGCUGGCUCCUAGGAAAUGAACUCUGAACCCUAGGAAUAUUAUGCCUGUAAACACUCCACAAUGCCAGGAAGAAUUUCCUAUAAUGGCUGUGCCACUACUCUGCUUGAAAAUCGUCACUGACUUCGCCUCAUCUGUGAAGAGUCCAUCCUUCCCACCAUGACAUACAAAAGCCUGAGUGAUCUGGUUCCAGCCCAUUCCUGUUACUGCUUGCCUUCCUUGUUUCACUGAAUUGGUAUGUCUGACCUAAUGAAGACUUUUUAGAUUAUUUAGAAACUACUACGUUUUCUGCAG
RNAcentral lists this long non-coding RNA (534 nucleotides) under Homo sapiens (human). Its description in RNAcentral is "HSALNT0360059". The record is from RNAcentral. Lineage: Eukaryota; Metazoa; Chordata; Mammalia; Primates; Hominidae.